Molecule: ribosomal RNA, 235 nt
Filed under: uncultured bacterium
Lineage: Bacteria
Description: partial 16S ribosomal RNA
Rfam family: Bacterial small subunit ribosomal RNA
Source: RNAcentral
CACGGGUGAGUAACACGUAUCCAACCUGCCGUCUACUCUUGGCCAGCCUUCUGAAAGGAAGAUUAAUCCAGGAUGGCAUCAUGAGUUCACAUGUCCGCAUGAUUAAAGGUAUUUUCCGGUAGACGAUGGGGAUGCGUUCCAUUAGAUAGUAGGCGGGGUAACGGCCCACCUAGUCAACGAUGGAUAGGGGUCCUGAGAGGAAGGUCCCCCACAUUGGAACUGAGACACGGUCCAA